Episyrphus balteatus (marmalade hoverfly) is the source of this 609-nucleotide long non-coding RNA. RefSeq lists it as uncharacterized. The transcript has 5 exons. The record is from RefSeq and is a predicted model, not a curated record. NCBI's taxonomy places the organism in Eukaryota, Metazoa, Arthropoda, Insecta, Diptera, Syrphidae.
GACCCCAGUCGUGCAAUUUAUUUUUUUUUGUAUUCAAUUCAACUGUUUCUACGACAAACCUGUAAAGGUUUCAAAAAGAAGACGCCAACAAAAGGAUUUUUAUGUUGAAACAACUGUGAAAAAAGCAACACAUUGGAUUUGGGGUCCGAAAUCCAAACCGAAGACUACUGGAAGAUAAAUGUAUACAACCAGGUUUUCUAUUAAAUUUUUUAAUUUGAGGAUGACAUUUUUGCAAAAAUAUAAAGAACUGAUAAAAUCAAAAUCCAAGAUACUUUUCAGGGUUCUAUUCUAUCAAAAUGCUAAAGAAAAAGGAUAAAAUUCCAAUGUGAUUACAAGACACGGCACGAGCUAAUGAGAUGUUAAAUACACCUACGUACGCCAGAUUUUUAGCCAGAUUUUAAAAACAUACACUUAUGUAGAUCUUUGUCCAUUGCUAUUACACAUUCCUUAUCAACUCGUUAGGUUGAUAAAUAAAGUUGUUGAGCUCAUUAUAAGAACGAACUAGAUUUGAACAUUAAACGGAAUCUAUAAAUGGAACUACAUAUAAUUUACCUAUUACUCUUAUUUAAUGUAAUAUUGUCGACGCGUGCUUGUGGAAUAUAAUAGAUG